This 260-nucleotide small RNA is filed under the name Arabidopsis thaliana (thale cress). RNAcentral's name for it is "ATSL020980". The record is from RNAcentral. Lineage: Eukaryota; Viridiplantae; Streptophyta; Magnoliopsida; Brassicales; Brassicaceae.
AAGUUUGGAGAAAUAAGUUUGACGCAAUCAAGUUCACGUGGUCACACAGAUCAAUAAAUCAACCUGCUGAUAUUUUAGCGAAAAACCAGAGACAUGCUCUGUCUUCAUACAUAGUUCAUAGUUUUAUCCCAUUGUGUAUCUCAAAUGCUUUGUUUUCAAACUACGUACCUAAGUAAUAAAAAUGAAAUUCGUGUUAAAAAAAUAAAAAUAAAGAAAACUUCAAGGAUAUAAAUAAAAUUUAUAACUAGUAGUUUUGUAUA